This 253-nucleotide ribosomal RNA is filed under the name uncultured bacterium. RNAcentral describes it as "partial 16S ribosomal RNA". It matches the Rfam family "Bacterial small subunit ribosomal RNA", at positions 524 to 776 of the family's 1533-position model. The record is from RNAcentral.
UACGAAGGGUGCAAACGUUGCUCGGAAUUAUUGGGCGUAAAGCGCACGUAGGCGGCUUUGUAAGUCGGAUGUGAAAUCCCUCGGCUUAACCGAGGACGUGCAUCCGAAACUGCGAGGCUCGAGUAUGGAAGAGGGUCGCAGAAUUCCCGGUGUAGCGGUGAAAUGCGUAGAGAUCGGGAAGAAGGCCGGUGGCGAAGGCGGCGCUCUGGAACAUUUCUGACGCUGAGGCUCGAAAGCGUGGGGAGCAAACAGG